This 509-nucleotide ribosomal RNA is filed under the name uncultured bacterium. RNAcentral's name for it is "SSU rRNA". It matches the Rfam family "Bacterial small subunit ribosomal RNA", at positions 26 to 523 of the family's 1533-position model. The record is from RNAcentral.
AGGACGAACGCUGGCGGCGUGCUUAACACAUGCAAGUCGAGCGAGAACCAGGGCUUCGGCUCUGGGGACAGCGGCGAACGGGUGAGUAACACGUGGGUAAUCAACCCUCGACAUCGGGAUAGCCCGGGGAAACCCGGAUUAAUACCGAAUGCUCCGUCUGGCCUUCGGGCCGGCCGGAAAAGGUAGCUUCGGCCUCCGGUCGGGGACGAGCCCGCGGCGGAUUAGCUUGUUGGUGGGGUAAAGGCCCACCAAGGCGACGAUCCGUAGCUGGUCUGAGAGGACGAUCAGCCACACUGGGACUGAGACACGGCCCAGACUCCUACGGGAGGCAGCAGUGGGGAAUCUUGCGCAAUGGGCGAAAGCCUGACGCAGCGACGCCGCGUGAGGGAAGAAGGCCUUCGGGUUGUAAACCUCUUUCAGGAGGGACGAAGCCACUCGGGUUAAUAGCCCAGAGGGUGACGGUACCUCCAGAAGAAGCCCGGCUAACUACGUGCCAGCAGCCGCGGUAA